This 1885-nucleotide long non-coding RNA is filed under the name Homo sapiens (human). RNAcentral describes it as "HSALNT0309560". Lineage: Eukaryota; Metazoa; Chordata; Mammalia; Primates; Hominidae. The record is from RNAcentral.
GGCGCAGACACAAAGGCAAACAAUCCCAAACACAGGCUUUGCCCUCCUUGUACGUUGAGACAAAGGAAGCAGAAAUGAGCCUGGGAUCACAGUCUGCGCUGAGCAGCAUGGAGCAAACAGGGCGUCCCCUUCUCAGUGACAGAGGGACUUGGGCUGACCAACCGUCUUGGCUUCCCUGGGACUGUCCCAGCUCAGCACUGAAAAUCUCAUGCCGAUGAAAACCCCCGCAGGCCUGGGCAGAUGGGAACCUUGGUCACUCUUGCAGAAACUUGAGUCAGAAAUAAAGCAACUUCUCCCAGGCCAUGUGGAAAAGCCAUGUGUGAACCAGAGGAACAAGUACAACAGAGCCGCUGAGUACACCCCAACACAGAGGAGCCAGCGCUCACCGAGAGAUUUGCCAAGUGGAGUCCUUUUGAGACAUCCAAAUUUCACUGUCUUCAACUUAUUAAUGUGAAACAAAGAAUAACGUAUAUGUGUGUGUAAACACGAAUAGUAACAGCUUAUAUUUGUAAACAAUGUGCCGUGCGCCCAGCACUACAUUAAGCAGUCUCCAUGCAGCACCUCCAUUAAUCCUGGGGAGCACUGUACCCACUUCAAGAGGCCUUUAGAAGAGCAAGUAACAAAAACUGGUGGAAAAAAAGCACACAUUCAACAGGAAGCAACAUCUAGAGACCUUUCUGCCUUCCAGGAUACAAAAAGAAAACAGUUCAUAAACAACUUACAUCUAAACCAGUAAUGUUGUCUCCCUGGCUCAUAGGAGCUGAAGAAGAAUUCCAGUUACUGUAGUAAGAAUAUAAGGAUGUGGACUGGUUUGAGGAUGCUUGAGGCAUGACUAUAGCAAGUACUGCGCAUACAUAUGUGGACAUCGUAAGACACACUCUCUGCUUCCCCAGGCGAAAUCUGAAUUCCAUGAUCUACACACAGAUGACACCAAAAUCGGAACAGCAAUGUCCACCCUUCUCCCGAGCCCUAGGUCGGUGCCUCUGUCCACCUGUGUCUCCUGAAACUUCAACACAGACUUCAAAUGGAGUGGCAGAAAACCAGAUUCCUUAGGGAAAGGAAGGUCUCCCAGACGGCAGGAGCGGCAGGCCUUAGGGGCAGCCGCAGGGGCUCGGGAGUCUGAACAUACCCGGUUUGAAUUCAGACUCUGGCACGCCCCAUGCGAUCAUAACAUAGUGCUGCACGUCUCAAGCCACCUAUAAAAACGGGGACAAUAACAAUAUCUGCCUCGGGGUUAAUGGUGAGGACUGACUGUGUGUGUCUCGCUCAGGACCAGGAGCAACAAAUGUUGGCUUCUUCCCCGGCAAAGACCCGCGCUUUCUCCUGGGCUCCGGGUUCCCGGGGUGGGGGUGGGCGCAGUCCCGAGGGCCCCAGGCAGUGGCGCAGUGGUUAGACCCCAGCCUCUGGAGUCGGCCUCGGUUCAGAUUCUGGUUCUACCCUUCUCCUCUGUGGCGAACCAACCCUCCGAGCUCUAGUUUACUCGUGUGAAAUGGACUAGCCAAAAUUGGGAUUUUUUUUUUUUUUUAGGAUUAGAUGUGUCGGUCCAUAGACGUUGCUGGCCACAUAGUUAAGUGGUGCGUUCACUCACUGGGCAUUGAUGGAGCGCCUACUACGUGCCAGGCCUGUUUUACGCGCCGGGGGCCCAGAGGCGCCCAGGUCAGACAAAGUGUAAACGAUUCCGACCAGAGCCCUUCAAUCUGCAUUCCGCUUCGCAGGAAACUCUCCUCCUUUUAUGAUUUUCAGCCGGACUGCCUUCCCUGUUGUUAGUUUGUAACUUUCGCUCCGGCCCCCGCAGCCUCGCGCCUGCCUUCCCUCCACUGUCCUCAGCCAAGGUGUAGUAAAGCGUCUCCGAACGCGGCGCGACCCUCGCCCACGCCCGCUCGCG